This 896-nucleotide ribosomal RNA is filed under the name uncultured bacterium. Its description in RNAcentral is "bacterial SSU rRNA". It matches the Rfam family "Bacterial small subunit ribosomal RNA", at positions 21 to 907 of the family's 1533-position model. The record is from RNAcentral.
GGCUCGGGAUGAACGCUAGCUACAGGCUUAACACAUGCAAGUCGAGGGGAAACGAUAGAGAAAGCUUGCUUUUUCUAGGCGUCGACCGGCGCACGGGUGAGUAACGCGUAUCCAACCUGCCCACCACUUGGGGAUAACCUUGCGAAAGUAAGACUAAUACCCAAUGACGUCCAUAGAAGACAUCUGAAAUGGAUUAAAGAUUUAUCGGUGAUGGAUGGGGAUGCGUCUGAUUAGCUUGUUGGCGGGGUAACGGCCCACCAAGGCGACGAUCAGUAGGGGUUCUGAGAGGAAGGUCCCCCACAUUGGAACUGAGACACGGUCCAAACUCCUACGGGAGGCAGCAGUGAGGAAUAUUGGUCAAUGGGCGAGAGCCUGAACCAGCCAAGUAGCGUGCAGGAUGACGGCCCUAUGGGUUGUAAACUGCUUUUAUAAGGGAAUAAAGUGAGUCUCGUGAGACUUUUUGCAUGUACCUUAUGAAUAAGGACCGGCUAAUUCCGUGCCAGCAGCCGCGGUAAUACGGAAGGUCCGGGCGUUAUCCGGAUUUAUUGGGUUUAAAGGGAGCGUAGGCCGGAGAUUAAGCGUGUUGUGAAAUGUAGAUGCUCAACAUCUGCACUGCAGCGCGAACUGGUUUCCUUGAGUACGCACAAAGUGGGCGGAAUUCGUGGUGUAGCGGUGAAAUGCUUAGAUAUCACGAAGAACUCCGAUUGCGAAGGCAGCUCACUGGAGCGCAACUGACGCUGAAGCUCGAAAGUGCGGGUAUCGAACAGGAUUAGAUACCCUGGUAGUCCGCACGGUAAACGAUGGAUGCCCGCUGUUGGCCUGAAUAGGUCAGCGGCCAAGCGAAAGCAUUAAGCAUCCCACCUGGGGAGUACGCCGGCAACGGUGAAACUCAAAGG